AGUGUACACGGCGGAUGCCUAGACACAAUAUAGCGAUGAAGGACGUAGCAGCCUGCGAAAAGCUUCGGCGAGGUGGCAAGCAACCUUUGACCCGGAGAUAUCCGAAUGGGGCAACCCACUAUGGCAAACCCAUAGUACCUGCAACUGAAUACAUAGGUUGUAUGGAGUAAACCCAGGGAAUUGAAACAUCUUAGUACCUGGAGGAAAAGAAACCAAUUGGUAUUCCCAGAGUAGUGGCGAACGAAAUGGGAGAAGCCCAAACCGAUCGAGUUAUUCGAUCGGGGUGCAGAUUCAAAACGUUAAGCGCAAGCUUAGGUGGAGUUACAUCAAAGAAAUUAUAUAGCGGAAUAUCCUGGAAAGGAUAGCCAAAGAGGGUGACAGCCCCGUAUGCAAAAUAUAUUUUCGCUCUACGGUUUUAUUUCUCGAGUAGCAUGGAACACGUGAAAUUCUAUGUGAAUAUGCCGGGACUAUCCGGUAAGGCUAAAUAUAUAUUGUGAUCGAUAGUGAACUAGUACCGUGAGGGAAAGGUGAAAAGUACCCCGAGAGGGGAGUGAAAUAGUCUCUGAAACCGUGUACAUACAAUAGAUCGGAGCCCGCAAGGGUGACGGUGUGCCUAUUGAAGAAUGAGCCAACGAGUUAUAUCAACUGGCGUGAUUAAUUCCGAAAAGGAAGCAGUCAGAGGGAAACCGAGUGUGAAUAGCGCGUAUCUCAUUCUAAUGACCACAGCAUUCUGUGUCGUGGUCAUUGGAAUGAGUAGUCAGUUGUUAUAGACCCGAAACCAAGUGAUCUAUCCAUGGCCAGGGUGAACCUUCCGUAACAGGAAGGGGAGGCCCGAACCCACUGAUCGUAUAACGUCAGGGGAUGAGCUGUGGAUAGCGGAGAAAUUCCAAUCGAACUUGGCUAUAGCUGGUUCUCUCCGAAAUAUCUUUAGGGAUAGCCCUACAAACUCUCCCGCGGGGGUAGAGCACUGAAUGGGAAAAGAGCCGCAAGGUAUCUUUCCUAACCAAACUCCGAAUACCGCGGUGAAUUAUUGUAGGAGUCAGACCGUGGGGGCUAAGCUUCACGUGUCGAAAGGGAAACAGCCCAGAUCACCGUCUAAGGUCCCUAAAUCUCCAUUAAGUGUGAAAGGUGGUAUCGCGACUCAAACAACUAGGAGGUUGGCUUAGAAGCAGCCAUCCUUUAAAGAAAGCGUAAUAGCUCACUAGUCGAGUUGCUUUGCGCCGAAAAUGUACCGGGGCUAAAUGGAGUACCGAAGACGUGGAUUCAUACUAUUUAUAGUAUGUCUGGUAGGAGAGCGUUCGCAUCAGCGCUGAAGUUUGACCCGUGAGGGCGGAUGGAGCGAUGCGAAGUGAGAAUGUUGGCAUGAGUAGCAAAAAUGACUGUGAGAAACAGUCACGCCGUAAGCCUCAGGUUUCCUGGGCAAUGAUUAUCAUCCUAGGGUUAGGCGGUCCUAAGGCGAGGCCGAAAGGCGUAGUCGAUGGACAGCAGGUUAAUAUUCCUGCCCUACAAUGAACUUGGCGAGACCCGACGCUGUCUGAAUUCUGAUGUGUUUUCAUGGAAUGAAACAUCUGCUUACUGGAUAACAGUUUGUGGCGAGUGGACGGGGCAACCCAACCGCAAGAACAGAUGACAGGGGGCCUAGAAAAGGGCUAACGCGUAUAGGUUCAUUGUAUCCGUACCGUAAACCAACACAGGUAGGCGAGGAGAGUAUCCUCAGGCGUACGAGAGAACCUUCGUUUAGGAACUCGGCAAAACAGCGGCCGUAACUUCGGGAUAAGGCCCGCCUCGCAUCUUCGGAUGUUGAGGCCGCAGCAACUGCUGGGAAACGACUGUUUACCAAAAACACAGCUCCAUGCUAAAUCGCAAGAUGAUGUAUAUGGGGUGAUGCCUGGCCAGUGUCCGAACGUUAAGGAAGGGGGUUAGAAAUUUAUUUCGAAGCUUUCGACCGAAGCGCGGAUGAACGCCGGCCGUAACUAUAACGGUCCUAAGGUAGCGAAAUUCCUUGUCGGGUAAGUUCCGACCUGCACGAAUGGCAUAACGAUUUCCCAACUCUCUCAACGAAGGACUCGGCGAAAUUACACUACCGGUAAAGAUGCCGGUUACCCGCAGCAGGACGAAAAGACCCCGUGAAGCUUUACUACAACUUGACAUUGAUGUAGUGAAUUACUUGCUCAGUAUAGGUGGGAGACUUUGAAAGCGCGCUUUGGCGUCGCUGGAGUCGCAAUAUGAGAUACCACCCUUGUGAUUCGUUACAUCUAACCCUACUCCAUGAAUCUGGAGCGGGGACAGUGUCUGGUGGGUAGUUUGUCUGGGGCGGAUGCCUCCCAAAAUGUAACGGAGGCGCUCACAAAGGUUGGCUAGAUUCGGAUGGAAAUCGAAUCGAUAGUGUAAAGGCAGAAGCCAGCUUUACUGCAAGACUUACUAGUCGCGCAGUCACGAAAGUGGGACUUAGUGAUCCGACCGUGCGAUAUAGGACGGCGGAAGCUCAUCGGAUAAAAGUUACUCCGGGGAUAACAGGCUAGUCAGGUCCAAUAGUCCACAUAGACGACCUGGUUCGGCACCUCGAUGUCGGCUCGUCGCAUCCUGGGGGUGAAGCAGCUCCCAAGGGUUUGGCUGUUCGCCAAUUAAAGCGGCACGCGAGCUGGGUUCAGAACGUCGCGAGACAGUUCGGUCUCCUAUCCGCUGUGGGCGUUGAAUCUUGAAGAGGCCCUUCCCUAGUACGAGAGGACCGGGAAGGACGAAGCUCUCGUGUACCAGUUGUCCCACCAGGGGCAUUGCUGGGUAGCGACCUUCGGUUAGGAUAACCGCUGAAAGCAUCUAAGCGGGAAGCCGUCUCUAAGAUUAGGAUUCUUAAACUCCUUGA
Molecule: ribosomal RNA, 2863 nt
Filed under: marine metagenome
Description: bacterial LSU rRNA
Rfam family: Bacterial large subunit ribosomal RNA
Source: RNAcentral